UGGACCGUCUAGUUUUUUUUUUCUCGGCGACGUUUCUUGCGUCCGCUGUAACCGUGGACUAUGAACAGAGGAUGUGUAACAAUUCCUCCUCUGGAAAAAGAUAUCCAGUUGCCUUGAUCUCUCCAGCCGGGUUACACUUCGACGAACGCUUGGGAUUUUUUGUUUUUGUUACGGCUUAAGGAGUGGCGCAUGCAACACUUUUGUUUCUUCUUAACGCACCUUUUACGCUUCCGUAACUAAGUAAGCGAUGAUUAACUUCUCACAGUUGAAAGAACGCGUAUUUGCCACCAGUAACGAAAACAUUGGAUCGAUAACAUUUCCAACCGAAGAAUGAUAAUUUACUGUAUAGUACGUUACGUUAUGUAUUGUAUCGGGUUGGACAAAAAAAUCAUUGUGCGAUCUGAUACCUGAUCGUCCAAGCUUGUUUCGACACGAUUUCGUUGACAAUUGUCGUUUGGUGUCGGUUUCAAAAUGGAAAAUCAAGAAGGAAUUUUCGUCAUAUUUUGCUGCACUACUUCCGAAAAGAAGAAAGACGCUGUUUUUAGAAAUUAUCUAAUGUGUAAUGGUGAAAAAGUCUUCGAAGUAUGACACUGUCAGAAUUGGUUUUGUUAAAUUUCACUACUGAUGAAGAUAUCAAAUCGUUCUUGAAACUGUUUUCUGUCGAAGAAUAUUUUUGAACACGGAAUCAUGAAGUUGAAAGAUCGCAAAAGGCAAAAGAGAGCAGGAGGAUGGCGCGUUAUCGACCAUCGCUGAAAAGAAGGGUCCGCCACUGCACGACAAAAUCUCUCUUCUCACAGAGAAAUCUGUUAUCAGGCUUGGCGCGUGGCGCCUGGUGUUAUCAGGAACGACUGUACACGUCAGGAUCGUGAGUCAGAGCCAGAGCCAAGAGCGACUCGCACGGCGGAGGCCACUUCUCCGGCGUAGUCCCCUCCUGGUGGGGACACGUCGCGUUCGCAGAGGGCAACGACGACGACGACGACGGCGACGACGACGACGACGAAGGAGAGAUCGCCAGUCAAGACCCCGGCGAAGAAGAAAAGAGAGACGAGCGCGGUCGUGGUAAGGCUUACCACGAGGCGGUCGCGAGCGAUCAGUUUGGUCGACGUGCAGAACCGGCGCGGACGUGAAUCGGCCGCCGAUUGUGAACCGGCAGUGAGCUACCAUACAGCACCCAUUCGGAUAAGAGAGCAUUAGCCGGAGGAUGCCUCGUCCCUUCACUGGAUAACGUCACCCUAUUCCUCGUGAUAAUGACACUAAUUAAAACUGAAGAAUGAAACAGGUCCACAAAAAAAAAAGAAAAAAAAAACGGUCCAAUGAUACCUGUUAAGACUUAACGAUAAUCCCUUCGAGAAUACCGACUCCAUAGAAUUUUUUUAAUAAAGCAACUUAAUUUCGUUCGAUCGAUUGCAACGAUUGUAAGGUGUGCUCUCGUUCAGGAGAAACAUUCGCAUUUAACACGAACGGGUAUUCAGGAAGCGAGAAUGUCG
Molecule: long non-coding RNA, 1487 nt
Organism: Frieseomelitta varia
Lineage: Eukaryota; Metazoa; Arthropoda; Insecta; Hymenoptera; Apidae
Exons: 5
Source: RefSeq, a predicted model, not a curated record